Molecule: long non-coding RNA, 267 nt
Filed under: Lathyrus oleraceus (garden pea)
Lineage: Eukaryota; Viridiplantae; Streptophyta; Magnoliopsida; Fabales; Fabaceae
Description: Pisum sativum (pea) long non-coding RNA (PSAT_LNC020309)
Source: RNAcentral
UUUAGAGUAUUGCGAUCAUUUUUCAUUGUGAUCAUUCUAAAGUAUCACUGUUGUAAUUUCUUAAACAUUAUUAUGCUUUGGUCAGCUAGUCUGGACUCCUCAAUCAUUCAAUUGAGUUCUCCUUUUUGGUGAGUGCUCCUGAGUAUUUUUUUUUUGUUUAAGCUCUUUUUCAACUUAUUAGUGAUUUUUUUUCUCUUUCAGGUGCACUCACUUUUAGUACUACUACACAACUACCCCAAACUUAAAGGUUUCUAUACCAACAACAAC